UACGUAGGUGGCAAGCGUUGUCCGGAUUUACUGGGCGUAAAGGGCGUGCAGGCGGUUUGUUAAGUCUAGGGUGAAAGCUCCCGGCUCAACUGGGAGAGGUCCUUGGAUACUGGCAGACUUGAGGAGGGUAGAGGAGAGUGGAAUUCCCGGUGUAGUGGUGAUAUGCGUAGAUAUCGGGAGGAACACCAGUGGCGAAGGCGGCCCACUGGGCCGGUACUGACGCUGAGGAGCGAAAGCGUGGGGAGCAAACAGG
This 253-nucleotide ribosomal RNA is filed under the name uncultured bacterium. RNAcentral describes it as "partial 16S ribosomal RNA". It matches the Rfam family "Bacterial small subunit ribosomal RNA", at positions 524 to 776 of the family's 1533-position model. The record is from RNAcentral.